AUUUGGGGGGAAUGUUGUGAAUGUUGGAUGAUGUAAGCCAAAUGAACAUGGCUUAAUAGUGAAUUGUGAGAGAGGGUGAUUAUCCCCUAUCUGAGGAUAACUGAUUUUGUAGGCAAUGGGCCAGCAUAUAAUCAUUAAAUUAAUAAAAAAUAAAAAAUAAGCAUAUAAAAGAACCUUACAUAUGUGCAAAGGACCCCCUAAUUAUAACCGUGAUUCUCUUUAUUCAUGAUAAUGUUAUUAAUUUCCAACAGAAUGAGCACUUUUUUUAGUGGGACAUGUUUUUGCCAAAGUUUCAAGAAUCAGUGACAUACAACCCCACAGUGCUACUCCCUAACUGACAUUAUGUUCCACAGCUAAGGUGAAACUAACUACAGGUCAGGCUUCCUCAACUAGUUAAACAAGUCAGUUUUGUGAAACCAGAUACAGCCUGUCAUUACACAAUAAAAUUCCUUUCACAUCCCUGAUUCUCCAAGUUAAAGGAACUUGAAAGAAGAACUAAUGAGUAGUUGGUCCAUGUCAUGAGACUAUUACGCUACAGCCAAGAAGCAGCAGGAGCUCCGGGUCGGAGGGAUCUCUCCUUUAUUGUCUAGCAGUAUUUCUGUUUCAAGACAGUAGCAGAUACUUCAGAUGUCCAUCCACCUUCAAACAGCUUAUCUCGGUGUUACUGGGGAAGCGAAGGAGACUACCCCAGACAACACAGCGCUCAAGGCAAGGGUACACCAUGGAUGCGAGGUACCGAAGAUGUGUUUCGUCGGAUUUAAACUAAGACUGAUCUCCUACAAGGCGAUUAUGUUCUAUACCUGAUAAGAGGACCCAUCAGGAGAAGAUGUAGGAAAAGAACGAGGGGGCGAUCUCUCCCCAGGUCCCGGUGGAUGAAAGUCAGCGCCAGCUGCGUCAGGACGGACGGCACCAGGACGAAGUAUUGCCAGUGAGACUGCCGAAGACGUGGAGGGCGCCGAUGGGACGUCAGGAGGUGUAGACCACUCUGCUGGAGAUGUGGAGGGCGCCGAUGGGACGUCAGGAGGUGUAGACCACUCUGCUGGAGAUGUGGAGGGCGCCGAUGGGACGUCAGGAGGUGCAGACCACUCUGCUGGAGAUGUGGAGGUCGCCGAUGGGACGUCAGGAGACGUGGACCACUUUGCUGGAGAUGUGGAGGGCGCCGAUGGGACGUCAGGAGGUGUAAACCACUCUGCUGGAGAUGUGGAGGGUGCCGAUGGGACGUCAGGAGGUGUAGACCACUCUGCUGGAGAUGUGGAGGGCGUCGAUGGGAUGUCAGGAGACAUGGACCACUCUGCUGGAGAUGAGGACGGUGCUGAAUGCACAUCAAGAAGCAGCUAUGGGAUUGGAACUGCAGGUGGAGAAGAUGCCAAAGAAACACCAGGCAUGACAGUGAUGCAGACUCACCAGAGCAGGGCAAUGUGUGUUUGGCUUCUCACAAAUCGGGUGUUGGCGGCAUGGCCUCUCCUGAGCCAGGCACAUCUUUGACACUGUGGGCUCGGUCUCAAGAGCGUCCUCAGGUGGGUCAGACCCUGCUGGGCUCGGCAGUUCUGCUCUCCUCCUCCAGAGCUUAGCAUGAGAAGCGGUAAUGGAGCAGCUUCUAGCAACAGACAAGAAUCAGGCAGAGCAGCUUCUCGCUGCUGAGAAGCAUCGGGCGGGGAGCCGGCGGCCCGAGCAGUGAGAUGAACAGCGGCAGAUGUAGUGUCUCAUGGUCCAGAACCUGGGACUGCAGGUUUCUCCAACAGAGAAGCCCCGUCUGCCUCGACCAGUCCCUGUACUUCUCCCAAAAGGUGCCGGGCCUUCUCCACCUCCUGGGGAUCCUCAUCUGGGGUGAGUCCUUCCAACACCUGUUCUGUCUCCAGAAGUAUCGCCCUCACUUCAGGGAUCCUACACUGUGUGAGAUCAUGCCUCCACUCCAGAUGCGCAUCCAGCAAAGCAAAAAGGUCUACUGCCUGGAGAUGGGGCAAUGCAGCCGGAUGCAUGUCAGAGGGCGUGGCGCUUGUUGGUAGUCCCUCAGAGGGAACGUUGGAGUUAAAGGCUGUCAGGAUGUUUGUGGAAUCCUGGCAUACUGUCAAGUCUAUAGUAGUGAGGAGGCGUAAAAACUCCAGGCACACCCUUUGUGCAGGAAAUACCCCCAAAGGGGACUUUAUUAGGGAUGCAACAGAGGGGAGUAGGUCAAUAACGGGGACCUACAGAGGGCUCAAACUUAUGACACACAGCAAUGCCAGGACUCGAGCACAUAGGACAGAAGGUCACAUAAACACUGUUAACGAAGAGUACACAAGGGGCAAGUGUGGGCCAUAACAAUAAACUCAUAACAAGGGCUUUGAAACAGCUGCCCAACAUAAGGGCACAGCAGUGACAUCUGCUGGCCAAACAGAAACAGGACGGGGUUGAUGGUGACAGGUGUACAUGUCUUUUAGAAUAUCUAUGGCUUCACAAAAGCAUUGUGAUCUGAAAAUGUCCCCAGUGAGGGGAAGGGGUGGGCAAUUACUUUCUGAGCAGUGUCAGUGUCGGUGAUCCUUUGAAGGGCUUGCCUGCCUAGCUGAAUAGUGAGUGUCCACAGUGUACUAUGAAUGCACUGUGAUGCAAUAGUUCAGGACGCUUUCAAUGGAGCAGUGACAGAAUGGCGCAAGCUGCUGGAGGAACAGGCUGGUUAUUUUAAUUGCCCUUGUUGACCAAGGCAGUGAUGUUAGUUGCCCAUAUGAGGUUCCCUGUGAUGUGAGUUCCCAGAAAUGUUUAAAGUGGAGCCCCUUUCCUCGUUGUCUCCGCUGAUGUUUAAUGGGGAGAGGUCCUUCUGAAAUUGAUAAUGAGUUCUUUGGUUUUGUUGGUUUUGCAUGACAGGUGUGAGACUAGGGGAGAGGUGGGGGAGAAUCUGACUGAGCGGUUUAACACAGACUCCUUGAUCCACAUACACAUAGGCUGACUGAGAUCCAGGUUGAGCAGUUUGCUGUCCAGCCUACUGUGGACCAGUGUGUUGAACACCAAGCUAUAGUCAAUAUAAAGCAUUCUCACAUUUGUCUCCCGUUGUUUGAGAUGGAUAGACAGUACUGAUGGCAUCAUCUGUGGAUCCAUUUACUCUGUAGACACACUGGUGCUGGUCCAGGUUAGAGGAUGCAGUGGCUCUGCUGUGCCUUGAGACCAGUCUCUCAAAGCACUUCAUAAUGAUGGGUGUGAGAGCCACUGGUCUGUAGUGAUUUAGACAGGUAACCAUGGUUUCCUUUGCACUGGAAUAAUGGUAGCUGUCGUUAGGUAUGAGGAGAUGAUGGACUGGACAGAGACAGGCUGGAGCUAUUGGAGAAGACCUUGAUAGCUGGUAGGCACAGUUCUUGAGCAUCCUUCCAGGUAUCCCAUCAGGACGGGCCACCCUCGAUUCAUUCACUGUGCUGGGCUCGAUUUCCCGAUAACAGUGACUUUUAGCAUCUUAUGAAACCUUGAAAGGUAUACCUUACUGAAGUUGCUUACUUUUCUGCACGUGGUCCCCAAGCAAUCCCUUAAGAGGCUGCUUAAGGGUGAGCUUCAUAAGUGUGAAGUAACUAGGCGCUGGAACAUCUGACUGGUUGACUUUGAUGGCUUAAGAAUUUAUCAUUCCUUCCAUGCAGCAACUGCUUGACUGCGGCAUGAGAGAAAGUGGUGUUCUUUAUAAGUAUAGCACUGCGGAAAUGCUUCAAAAUAUUGCAUUUAUCAACACUGGGGACAACCUAAAAAUAAAAUACAAAAUUAACAAACUUAGUCAUCUAACCGUAAAUAUGAUUUUCGCUAUUUGGGUGCCCACCUCCCCAGAUUGUCGUUUCACACCAUUUUAUUUUUAUUUGUUCUAUAAAACACCUGUAUGCACCAACAUGUGAGAAUGUCAUUGAUACUGGGACGAGCGAUGGCCCAACAGGCAAAAGAAAAGUUGUGUUACUGUCAUAAGAUAAGAGAGCGUCCUAUGCGCUUCAUUACUGCCUACCCACAUAGCAAGAGGAGUGUGAACCGGAUCGGGGCUCAAUGUUCGGAAAUCACUGUAGAUCCAUAAACCAGAUCUGGCCUGGUUUCACUUUGCACUACUGACCAAUACUGGUCUGAAUUCACUUUCUGUAUUUGAAACAGAUAAGGGUCAUAUCUGGGCCAGCUUUACAUUGAAUAUUAUGAAAUUCAUCUUGUAUUUGCACCAGAGUCAAAAGUUAGAUCAGAUCUGGUCCAAAUGCAGCUCAGAUGCAAUUUUCCAGACUGACUGCUGACUAGUUCUGCUCCAGGAUCCUAAAGUAACAUAAUACAAUGAAUAAAUGCUUUUAUUUGCCAUUUGCACAGGUGUAUUAGAAUUCAUCUCUUUGCCUACCCCAUAUUGCUCUCUAUAGCUUGGGGGUCACAGCAGAGGGCCAGCCAAUGUGCAGCAUCCCUGGAGCUGGGGGGUUAAGGGUCUUGCUCAAGGGCCCACGGACAUGUGACUGUCCUGCUGAGGCGGUGACAUAAGAACAUAAGAACAUAAGAAAUUUACAAACGAGAGGA
This is a non-coding RNA of Paramormyrops kingsleyae, 4488 nucleotides long. The record is from RefSeq and is a predicted model, not a curated record. Lineage: Eukaryota; Metazoa; Chordata; Actinopteri; Osteoglossiformes; Mormyridae.